Malania oleifera is the source of this 224-nucleotide small nucleolar RNA. RefSeq annotates it as small nucleolar RNA U3. The record is from RefSeq and is a predicted model, not a curated record. The transcript has a single exon. NCBI's taxonomy places the organism in Eukaryota, Viridiplantae, Streptophyta, Magnoliopsida, Santalales, Ximeniaceae.
AUGAGCUUACUUGAAUAGGAUCUACUAUAUAGGCUCAUACCUUGGUAUCCUUGAUUUUUAAGGAAACAAGAAUCAAAGUCUGGUGCAUGAAUCGUGACCAUGCGAUCAGAGCAUGAUUAAAAGGUAGCACAAUCUUGAUCUUGAUUGGGAUUGUUGCAGUAAUAAAGGAUUGCUCUUGGUUGGCCUGGUUCAGCCAAGAUGGUCGUGUGACUGUCUGACAGACC